Molecule: long non-coding RNA, 1004 nt
Organism: Lucilia sericata (common green bottle fly)
Lineage: Eukaryota; Metazoa; Arthropoda; Insecta; Diptera; Calliphoridae
Exons: 5
Source: RefSeq, a predicted model, not a curated record
UUUUAUCUACUCUUCUAUACACUCCCAAGAGAAUAGAUUGUUGUUGUUUUUUUCAAUUUAUUUAUUUUUUUUUCAAAACAAUUUCUGCAAUUACGCUCUCACACUCGCGCUCAUUAUUUUCGUUUUUUUCUGGUGUCAGUUUUUACACAGAAAUCGUCGUGUGAACUACACAGUGGAAUUUAAAGAAGUUUAUUUAUUAAAUUUUUAUUAUAAAUUGUUAAAUUGAAAUCAAAUAGAAUUUUGUGUGAUUUAAAGAGAAAAAGCAGCUGAAUAAGAAUUAAAAAAAAAACAAAGUGUGUGUUUAUAUUGCAAAUAAAUUGUUUUAAAAAACACGAUAAUUAAAGGGAUUUGCUCCCAAAGCAUUAACAACAAGUGGUUUUUACUAAUAAAAUUUGCCGAAAAAAAAAACAACAAAAACAAAGUAGUGACGAAUAGAAUAAGAAGCAGAAUAGCGAAUGUAGUGUAAAAGAAAAUGAAAGUGUUUGAAUUUCAAAUCAAAGCUCUAACAUAAAACCGCGUGUAAAGCGAUACAAAAUAAAAAGCAGCAACACAAUAAUUUUAUUGAAAAAAAAUUUCAAGUGCUCUUAAAAAGUUACUUUUUUAUUAUAAAACUAUAAAUACUUUUGCAAUCCAAAACUGCUUAAACCACAAAAAAGUGUUAAAAAAAACUUAAAAAACUUAAAUUUUUUGCCUGCAAAGCAAUUUUCUACAACUUUUGGUUCCUAUUUCUCAACUUAUACAAACUGCCAGUAAGAGAAGUUCGUUCACAAAAAACAACAGCGCUCGCCUAAUUAAACAAAAAAAAAAAAGUAAAAAUUUAAAUCUAAAAAAUUAUUACACACACGUGAAUUUGCAUAAAUCUUUUAUUGAGAAAAAAGAUUAAAAAAAAGGGUAAAAAUAAAACAAACCUAAAAACACAAAUUCCAAUUUAGAACAUAAAUAACUCAAAACUUUUAGUGGCAGUGAUUUGGAGUCUACAUCAAAUGUACGGUUCUGUUAAUUAG